This 497-nucleotide ribosomal RNA is filed under the name uncultured bacterium. RNAcentral describes it as "partial 16S ribosomal RNA". It matches the Rfam family "Bacterial small subunit ribosomal RNA", at positions 28 to 507 of the family's 1533-position model. The record is from RNAcentral.
GAUGAACGCUGGCGGCGUGCCUAAUACAUGCAAGUCGAGCGAACGGACGAGAAGCUUGCUUCUCUGAUGUUAGCGGCGGACGGGUGAGUAACACGUGGAUAACCUACCUAUAAGACUGGGAUAACUUCGGGAAACCGGAGCUAAUACCGGAUGAUAUUUUGAACCGCAUGGUUCAAAAGUGAAAGACGGUCUUGCUGUCACUUAUAGAUGGAUCCGCGCUGCAUUAGCUAGUUGGUAAGGUAACGGCUUACCAAGGCAACGAUGCAUAGCCGACCUGAGAGGUGGACCGGCCACACUGAACCGGAGACACGUUCCAGACUCUGCCGGGGGGAAGAGGGGGGGAUUCUUCGGAAAGGGGCAAAGCCCGGAAGGGUCACCGCCGCGUGAGUGAUGAAGGUUUUGGUAUCUUAAACCUUUUUUAUGGGGGAAAAACAUUUGGGAAAUUAACUGUGCACAUUUGGAGGGACCCUAAUAAGAAAGCCAGGGCAACCUAGGUG